This is a long non-coding RNA of Molossus molossus (Pallas's mastiff bat), 717 nucleotides long. RefSeq lists it as uncharacterized. The transcript is spliced from 3 exons. The record is from RefSeq and is a predicted model, not a curated record. Lineage: Eukaryota; Metazoa; Chordata; Mammalia; Chiroptera; Molossidae.
GUGUUCAGGAAGCGCCAGGGGAGUGGGAGGGAAGAACAAGACAUGAGGAGAAGGAACUGGAGAGAAAGGCAGAAAGAAGUGAACAGAGGAGCCCCAAGGAGGAGCAAGGUGAGAAGAAAGAAGCAGAAGAGGACGAGAAAGGGGCCGGCCUCAAACGAGAACCAGGAACAGCGGGAUUGAGGUCAUCAACUCUUCCCAUCUGAGGCUCACUAUUGUAAGAACAUCGUUGACCUCAUGGAUUGAGGGGGUACCAGCUGAAGUCAUUGAUCAGGAGAGGAGACCAGAUGUCUCCCACUCAGGAAUGAAGUUGCUGUGGAAAGGGGAAGAGUCUGGCCUGUGACACAUCAAAAAUAAUGGCCACGUGGUGAACAGGGAAGGCUGGUUCAGAGGAGCUCACCUCAUGCUCACAGAAACUCUACAAGGAUCCGUGCAUCUCAACUACUACCCUCCACCUACUAUCUGAGAUCUUCUGUGGCUUUUCUCCUUCGGCCCAAAUCAGGAAAUGCGAGUCAGGGUUGAGGAGCAGGACAAAGACUUCAGCGAGAGAGGUACUGGUAAUUAGGGCAAGAGAACCUAAAAGAGACUUGAGGUUUCCUGGCCUCUCCCCGGAGGCUGAUGAUUAUGUGAUGUAAUCCACAUUCUUGCAUUCCUUCUGGAAGUAAAAAGCAAGGAUUUUCAAGAUAAUUGCCUAAGAUUAAAGGCCAUUCUUUUGCCUUG